GACGAACGCUGGCGGCGCGCUUAACACAUGCAAGUCGAACGGAAAGGCCUGCUUUCCCUUGUGGAUUGCGGGUACUCGAGUGGCGAACGGGUGAGUAACACGUGAGUGAUCUGCCCCCAACUUGGGUAUAAGCCUGGGAAACUGGGUCUAAUUCCCGAUAGGACUGCAGGGUGGUGCCUGUGGUGGAAAACGAUUUUCUAGUGGUUGGGGAUGGGCUCGCGGCCUAUCAGCUUGUUGGUGGGGUACUGGACUACCACGGCGGCGACGGGUAGCCGGCCGGAGAGGGUGGACGGCCGCAUUGGGACUGGGACACGGCCCAGACUCCUACGGGAGGCAGGAGUGGGGAGUAAUGGACGAUGGGCGGAAGCCUGAUGCAGCGACGCGGCGUGGGGGAUGACGGCCUUCGGGUUGUAAACUCCUUUCGACCGCGAGGAAGCCACCUGGUUGGAAGGGUGGUGACGGUAGUGGUAGAAGAAGCACCGGCUAACUACGUG
Molecule: ribosomal RNA, 494 nt
Filed under: uncultured bacterium
Lineage: Bacteria
Description: partial 16S ribosomal RNA
Rfam family: Bacterial small subunit ribosomal RNA
Source: RNAcentral